GAUGAACGCUGGCGGCGUGCCUAAUACAUGCAAGUCGAGCGAACAGAUAAGGAGCUUGCUCCUUUGACGUUAGCGGCGGACGGGUGAGUUACACGUGGAUAACCUACCUAUAAGACUGGGAUAACUUCGGGAAACCGGAGCUAAUACCGGAUAACAUAUUGAACCGCAUGGUUCAAUAGUGAAAGGCGGCUUUGCUGUCACUUAUAGAUGGAUCCGCGCCGUAUUAGCUAGUUGGUAAGGUAACGGCUUACCAAGGCAACGAUACGUAGCCGACCUGAGAGGGUGAUCGGCCACACUGGAACUGAGACACGGUCCAGACUCCUACGGGAGGCAGCAGUAGGGAAUCUUCCGCAAUGGGCGAAAGCCUGACGGAGCAACGCCGCGUGAGUGAUGAAGGUCUUCGGAUCGUAAAACUCUGUUAUCAGGGAAGAACAAAUGUGUAAGUAACUGUGCACAUCUUGACGGUACCUGAUCAGAAAGCCACGGCUAACUA
RNAcentral lists this ribosomal RNA (493 nucleotides) under uncultured bacterium. RNAcentral's name for it is "partial 16S ribosomal RNA". It matches the Rfam family "Bacterial small subunit ribosomal RNA", at positions 28 to 503 of the family's 1533-position model. The record is from RNAcentral.